AGAACGAACGCUGGCGGCAGGCCUCAAACAUGCAAGUCUAGGGGGUGUAGCAAUACAUCACCGGCGGACGGGUGCGUAACGCGUGGGAACAUACCUUUCGGUACGGAACAACUGCGGGAAACUGCAGCUAAUACCGUAUACGCCCUUACGGGGAAAGAUUUAUCGCCGAAGGAUUGGCCCGCGUUCGAUUAGCUAGUUGGUGAGGUAACGGCUCACCAAGGCUACGAUCGAUAGCUGUUCUGAGAGGAAGAUCAGCCACACUGGGACUGAGACACGGCCCAGACUCCUACGGGAGGCAGCAGUUGGGAAUCUUGGACAAUGGGGGAAACCCUGAUCCAGCCAUGCCGCGUGAGUGAUGAAGGCCUUCGGGUUGUAAAACUCUUUCGACGGGGACGAUAAUGACGGUACCCGUAGAAGAAGCUCCGGCUAACUUCGUGCCAGCAGCCGC
RNAcentral lists this ribosomal RNA (448 nucleotides) under uncultured bacterium. Its description in RNAcentral is "SSU rRNA". It matches the Rfam family "Bacterial small subunit ribosomal RNA", at positions 26 to 518 of the family's 1533-position model. The record is from RNAcentral.